CGGGUAAGUUCCGACCCGCACGAAUCGUGUAACGAGUUGACGACUGUCUCGGAGAGACGCUCGGUGAAAUUGUAGUAGCGGUUAAGAUGCCGCUUACCCGCAGCAGGACGGAAAGACCCUAUGCACCUUUACUGUAAGCUGUUAUUGUCGCUUGAUUUUCAUUGCGUAGAAUAGGUGGGAGACGUUGAUCCUUCGUUCCAGGACGAAGGUUAGUCGAAAUGUGAAAUACCACUCUUUGUUGGUUAGGCGUCUAACCUCUUUCCAUUAUCUGGAGGAGGGACAGUGAUAGCAGGUCAGUUUUACUGGGGCGGUAUCCUCCCAAAAAGUAACGGAGGAUUUCGAAGGUUCCCUCAGCCCGGUCGGUAAUCGGGCUAUAGAGCGCAAGAGUAUAAGGGAGCUUUACUGUGAGACCUACAAGUCGAGCAGUUGCGAAAGCAGGAUCUAGUGAUCCGGUGGUUGAAUGUGGAAUCGCCAUCGCUCAUAGGACAAAAGGUACGCUAGGGAUAACAGGCUGAUCGCGCCCAAGCGUUCACAGCGACGGCGCGGUUUGGCACCUCGAUGUCGGCUCGUCACAUCCUGGGGCUGGGGAAGGUCCCAAGGG
RNAcentral lists this ribosomal RNA (601 nucleotides) under uncultured Florenciella. RNAcentral describes it as "partial Bacterial large subunit ribosomal RNA". It matches the Rfam family "Bacterial large subunit ribosomal RNA", at positions 1973 to 2571 of the family's 2925-position model. Lineage: Eukaryota; Dictyochophyceae; Florenciellales. The record is from RNAcentral.